UCACAGUCAGGAUUGUCCGAGGAUAAUUUCUGCCACUCUGAGGUGUUGAGUGCGAGCUGUAGCAGGCUAGCAGGAGCAAGCUAGCGGGAGCUAACUGUGUACAGACUAUACUGUGGACAUAGCAGCAAAUCACUUACCGACAAUGAACUGGUCUGAUCCUGAUUUAAGAGAGGCCAUUUCUCUUUUAAAACAAAAAAUGUCUCUUUACCUGGAAGAUGAAGACAUAAUAGACAAAGUCAAACAAGCAAGGAAAAUAUGUUGUGGCAUCGGAGAUGAAGACCUAAAAAUCGGAGAUGAAGACUGAGAAUAUUCUCGGGGAUGAAGACACUGAGAAAGUCCAUGUUAUGAACAGAUAGGGCGGACAUGCCAGAAUUGUGGUUCAAGCCAUAAGUCACAUCAGUGUCCAGCAUAUAAAGACGAAUGCUGUGCCUGUGGCACAAUAGUACACUGGGCAGGAUGCUGCAAAAAGAAGUCUCGACCACCACGUAACAAACAUCCCAGAUUUCAGAUGUCCAGAAAUUAUCACAAGCAGCAGUCCAACAUUGAUGUUGUAGACAGCAAAGAGCCUGAUGAAGAGAACAUGUACCAAAGAAAUUUCUACUCCAUCACCAUCAGUGAAAAGUGCAUGAAUAGCAUUGACAGCAGACUACCCAGAGAUUUCGCAUAUUCAACCCUAAACAUGAGACCACCUGGCCUACCAGGUCAUGGACACACACUUCAUCUGAAAAUUGACACAGGUGCAGCGGGGAAUACCCUGGCACUGCACACAUUCAGACAAAUGACUACAAAUCUAGUGCCUAUAAAAAACUAAAAAAGAACUACAAAAAGCUAUCUGCGUAAAGUGGAUAUGAGAUCCCUUGCCUUGGAACUAUUAAUAUUCCAUGCCAAUAUAAGGAGUCUACAUGGGUUGAUGCCAUGUUCUUUGUUGUGGAUUUACCAGGGCCAACUGUAGUUGGGCUACCAACAAGGGAACUGCUAAAUCUUGUAACUGUACAUGUUGAUAUUGUGAAAGAGAAUGGAAAUGACAGCCAGAAAAAUCAAAGGAAAAACAAACAAAACUACCAAAAAUAUCAACCAGUGCAGAUCUGAAGGAAGUGUAACCCAACCAGUUUGAAAAAACUUGGCAUUGACAAACUUCUCCUGAAAGAGAAUGCAGAAUCAUUCAUUGAUCCACCACAAAGAUGCAGCAACCACAUCAAUUAUAAGCUCCAGAAAGAGCUGAACAAACUUGUGGAACAAAAAGGGCACAAUGGCACAAAAAGGACAUGUCCCUCAGGAUAUGUUGAGACCCACAGAAAUUAAAUGCCAGCCUUAAAAGAUGUCCACACAAGAUACCAACUGUGGAGGAGCUGAACUCAAAGUUUGCAAUAUAAAAUAUUUAGCAAGCUUUAUGCAAAAGCAGGCUAUUGGUCCAUACACCUGGAUGAGGACUCACAGCUUCUGACAACAUUUCGCACUCCAGUUGGCAGAUGCUGGUGGAAACGCUUGCCAUUUGGAUUAAGUGUCUCCUGUGAUCCCUUCCAGGCCAAAAUGGAGAUAAGGAUCUCCAAGGUGGGGUCAGUAUAGCCAAUGAUAUAUCAGACAGACAGCAGCGAGUGACAUCAAACCGAACCCAGCUAAGAGACAUGCAGAAAAUGGCAACCCUCCAAGAUGAGCUACAUAGGUCUAUGGGAAUGUCGAGCUAUUAGGAUUUGAAAUCAACAACCACUGAGGAUGCCUGCCUAAAAUACUGUAAUCCAAACACACCCCUAACCUUUGAAGUAGAAGCGUCACAGGAAGGCCUGGAUAUAGUGCUGGUGCAGAACAACAGACCAAUUGCUUUUGGUCCUAAAACACUGACAGACUGAGAUACAGCAACACAGAACGUGAAAUGCUUGCCAUUGUUUAUGGAUUGCAGUGAUUUCACACCUAUCUGUAUGGGAAGUCAUUCCAUGUGAUAACAAAUCACAAACCACUCGUCACCGUAUGUGCAAAACCACUAUAUGCUGCACCGUCACGUUUACAGCUCAUGCUGAUUAAGACACAAGGGUACAACUAUGAAGUCAGGUACCGGCCUAGAGCACAAAUGGUACUAGCAGACACUCUCAGUCAGUUGUCAAACCCUGAAAACCACAGUGAAUUGAGCUGGACGAGCACAUCGCUGGAAUGAAUGCUGAAAUUGAGGAUUCAAUGUUACACGCCAUCGGCAUAACAAAUUUCUCAUCUGGAAAACAGGAAGUUCUCCGUGUAGAAACUGGAUGGUCACUAGAUUCAGUGUGUUAAAAGGAACUGAUCAAGGGUGGCCAGAAAGGAUAGAAGACCUGCCAAGAACCUUGCGUGCUUAUUGGUCCUUUAGAGAUGAACUUGCAGUGGAAUCAGGAGUCAUAUUCAAGGGCAGGGAGGUACUCAUUUCAGACCAUGACUCAAGAUAUCCUUAAUCAGAUAUCCACAUCACCUCGCACGAGAAAGUGUUUAUUGGACAAAAAUGAAUGAUGACAUCAAAAUAGUUUGCAGAUCUUGCAGUGAGUGUGUGGAACAUCAAGUUGCAAUCCCAAAAGAGCCUCUCAACCCACAUGACACUGUUAUAACCGACUAAAAUGUUUCUUUAGGACCCAAAAGCAGAACACAACUCAGCGGUGCAGGUGGAUUGGAUUUUAUUGUAGCUUGGUUUGAACUGGCUGAGACGGCUCUGGGGGGCCUGGCAGGUGAAGAGUGGGGGAGCAGAGGUUCUGGACUGGAGGCUGCUGGGCUGAAAAGGUUGCUGAGAGACAGAUGAAGAAGUUUCAAGAUGAAACUCAGGUGCGCUGGCUGCAGCAGUCAGUAGGAGGAGUGGAGUGGACCAGGAAGAAGCUGGAGGGAAUGCCACACCCCGAGACACACACACACACAACCAGAGAGGAGAGAGAGACAGAGAGAGAGAGACAGAGAGAGCAAUCAACCAGGUACUGAAACCCCUGACCCCGACAUCGUACAUCCAGCAGCCGCCUGACGGUAAACACUGUGUGGUCGUUAACGAUGCGGGCGGGAGGAGGGGGGUCAACCGGAGGGCACAGAGGACUGACAUGCACAGGUUUCAACUGGGAAACAUGGAAUGAAGGGUGGAUUCUAAAAUUUUAGUCAGUUUGAGUUUAACAACAAAAGGGUUGAUGAUGCUCACGAUCUCAAAUGGUCCCAAAUAGCGGGCCGAGAGCUUCUUAGAGUCAGUUUUCAGUGGAAUAUUCUUAGAAGAAGGCCAAACUUUCUGACCUGGUCGAUAGUGGGGUGCUGGGAUCCCAUGACAAUCAGCUAAGCAAUGGUUCCGUUCAGCUGAACAUAGCAGAGCUGAGCGGGCAUCCCUCUGUCCUCACCUGCCCGCUCUCAAUUAUGUAGCCCAGAAAGCUGACUGAGGUAACAUGGAACUCACACUUCUCUGCCUUUACGAAUAGCUUGUUCUCCUGGAGCCUCUGGAGAACUUGACGGACAUGGAUGAUGUGUUCAGAGGGUGAGCACAAGAAGACCAGGAUGUCAUCUAAAUAGACAAAGCUAUUGAUGAAAUCUCUGAGCACGUCAUUUACCAUCGCUUGGAACACUGCAGGUACAUUGGUGAGACCAAAUGGCAUUACCAAACACUCGAAAUGGCAUAGGGGGUUGUUAAAAGCCGUUUUCCAUUCGUCUCCCUUUCACCAGGUGAUAGGCAUUUCUCAGGUCCAGUUUGGAGAAGAUGGUGGCUCCAGUGCUACAUAAUUAAGAGUAGGCAGGUGAGGACCAAUCCUGAGAAGAUCCAAGCAGUGGUACUAUGGCCCAAACCAACCACUAGGAAACAGUUACACCGAUUCCUGGGCCUCGCUAUCUUUUACCGCCGCUUCUUCAAAGACUACAGUAAAGUAGCGGCUCCCCUCACCAAGCCCACAUCCUCCACUUCUCCAUUCAGUUGGUCUCCUGAGGCUGAGCCUUCCUCCACUUGAAGAAACUGUUUACCAUAGCCCCAGUUUUAAUCCAGCCGGACCCGUCCUGUCCCAUCAGUUUAUUAUGGAGGUGGAUGCUUCAGAUUCAGGGGUUGGGGCAGUCCUCUCUCAAAGUGCAGCUCCUCAAAAGCUUCAUCCUUGUGCUUUUUUUUCCCAUCGCCUUUCUCCUGCAGAACAAAACUAUGACGUGGGAAACCAUGAGCUUCUCGCAGUAAAACUGGCUCUGGAGGAAUAUAAGCAUUGGCCUGAGGGGGCUGAACAACCAUUCAUUGUUAAAUUUCCGUCAAGCCUGCUUGGCCUUAUUCUUUGAUCACUUCAGCUUUACCCUUACCUAUUGCCCAGGCUCCAAGAAUAUUAAGCCCGAUGCCCUCUCCCGCCAGUUUGCCCCUGAAGAUGUCGUUUCCAGUCCAGACACCAUUCUACCUACUACCUGUGUUGUUGGGGCUGUCACAUGGGAGAUAGAAUCUAUGAUCAAAGAUGCUCAACGCACCCAACAAGACCCAGGUAAUGGUCCUCCUGGCCGAUUGUAUGACCCCAACUCUGUACAUUACCAGGUCUUCCAGUGGGGUCAUUCGUCCCGGUCUCCCAGGACUCAUCUGCAUGAGCGCUAAAAAAAGAUCUGCUUUGCGCAGCCACAACUUCUAGGUAAUGCUCAAAGGAAUAAAAAGUGACCCGGUGGAAACACUUGCCACAACAACCUGUGAAACUAACACAAGCACAGAGGAAUUCAAAAGCCCAAAGACAACAUGCAUAAGAUAUGGAAGGGCUAUAAAAAAACAAAACCCAGCCCACUACAAGGAUUAUGUUUAGCUCAGAAUAAUACCCAGGGUAGUGGUAUAGCCCUCAUUGAUGAGAAUUUGUGUGUUUGAAUGUUUAUUUUAAUGUAUAAAUUUUAAAAUAAAUAUUUGUUGGUUUAUGCACAAAACAAAAAGAAAUCUUACACUGAUGUAAAGUGAGAACAACAUGCACUAAGUUUAAUCAUUCCAACUCGUGUUGAUAAAUGAUGUUAAAAUGUUAGAUGGGAACUGAAAGCAGAUUAUUGUUUAUUACAAAAGCCAGUUAAGUCUGUGGGGUACUCCCGCUUAAAAGCGGUGAUAUGUCUAGGACAUGCACAGUGUUAUGGCAUAGUGAUUCGUCAACUGGAUUGAGUUGAUAUGAGUAGUAAAACGUUAUACUAAACAUUCAGUCUGGUUGUCUGCCUCCAAAUUAGGGCCCGGGCACCGAGUGUCGGAGGUGCAAGGAACCUAUUGUUAUUGCUGAGAUUAUUAUUAUUUUUCUGCUGGAAUAUUUGAUUUUUGAGGGGCUUUAACGCUCUCAUAAACUCACGAAAAUUCGCACAGACCUCCAGACCGUUAUGAACUGCAAAUUUCGAUAGUGAUUGGGCUACGGCUUGUCCAGCGGGCUCCAUAGGUGCUGAACUUGGGCCAUUUCAACAUUGAGAUCCUGGGAUGUUCAUGAAAUUUGAUGGGAUCUGAGUUUGCCUAACUCAGUUAAUGCAAGUUGACAACAACAAUAUUUCCCCAAAACCCUCUUUCAUCUGACCAUUUUAUAUUAACAUUUGAGUUCACAGUAAUAGAUAUUACAGCAUUUGGGAAAAAAACCAUCACAGCAUGUAUCCAUCUGACAAUACUGUGAUCAAAUUUAAAGAAAGAAUCCUAUUGGUAUUUGGUCCUCUGCCAUGUGUCACCACAAUGGAGGACAGCUAUCUCAACUUCAGUCCCACACAAGUUGAUGAUGUUGUUUACAGUACUGCAGCCUCAUUACAUACAACACUAGACACUGUGGUUCCUCUGAGAAAGAAGGUAGUGAAUCAGAGGAGGCUAUCUCUAUGGUACAACUCAGAAACCCGUGCUCUAAAGCAAAACAACCCCAGGUUUCUGUUCAGCACUGUAGCCAGGCUGACAGACAGUCACAGCUCUAUUGAGCCGUCUAUUCCUUUAAGUGUCAGUAGCAGUGACUGUAUGAGCUUCUUUAUUAACCAUAUCCUCCCCACAGCUGAUUCAGAUGUACUGUCCGCACCAGAGUCAACAGUAAGUGGUUUAUAUUUAGACUGCUUCUCUCUUGUAGAUCUCUCUGGGCUAACUUCAACAGUUCUAUAUCUUAACCAUCUACUUGUCUUAUAGUAUCUAUUCCAACGAGGAUGUUCAAAGAUGUUUUUCCUCUAAUCAACAAUUCUAUUCCAGGUCUAAUCAACCUAGCAUUAUCAGCAGGUUAUCUACCACCGCUUUUAAGGUUGCAGUAAUUAAACCUUUACUUAAAAAUCCUACUCUUGAUCUAGAUAUUUUAGUCAGUUACAGACUUAUAUCCAACCUCCCCUUUAUUUAAAAAUCAGUGAAAAAGUGCUUGUUAACCAGUUAUGUGAUUAUUUGGCAAAAAGUGGUCUGCUUGAAGACUUUCCGUCAGGAUUUAGAGUCCAUCAUAGCACAGAAACAGCUCUGGUUAAAGUUACUAAUUAUCUCCUCAGGGCCUCAGACUCUAUACUUGUCCUACUAGAUCUUAGCUCUGCAUUUGACACCAUCGAUCACAGGAUCUUAUUGCAGAGACUAGAACAUGUCAUUGGCAUUAAAGGAACUGCACUAGUCUGGUUUGAGUCAUACUUAUCAGAUAGAUUCCAGUUUUUUCAUGUUAAUAAUGACUCUUCUAUGCACACAAAAGUUUGUCAUGUUCCACAAGGUUCUGUGCUAGGACCAAUACUUUACACCCUAUAUAUGCUUCCUUUAGGGAAUAUUAUCAGGAAGCACCAGGUAAAUUUCCAUUGUUAUGCAGACAACAUCCAGUCGUACUUAUCUGGCCAGAUCUGGCCAGAAUUUUAGUUUAAAAUGUUCAAAAAAUGAACUAACACUAUCAAUAGUAUGUGAAGGAGCCACAGUGAUGAUGUCUUGACCAAGACCACCAUCUAUUGUAUUUCAGAGAUAUCUACUGAAAUUAGCAUGCUAACCAACUAGCCCCGACCUGGGCCUUGUUGUAAUACCACCUAGACACACUAGAUGCUGUGUGAGUCAGUGUAGCGUUUAGUCUGCCCUCAGUCCCACAGAACAAGAACUUCCUCCUGAGCUUGAAGUUAGCUACAGCUCCAACAAAACAAAACAAAAAAAAAGCUGCCGACGAGCAUCACAGAAACGCAGAGAUGGCUGAAGUGCUUAGAAAGCGAUCCUAAUCUCCAUCCCAAAGAACCACUCUGAAACGAAACCACGUUCAACGGCAAAGAAGCAAAACACGGGUGAAGCUGGUGACAGCUCCGGGCGAGUAGAGAGACGCGGCUUGAUGUCGAGCUUGCAACUAUUCUUUUAGACUGGACAGAAUUCCUGUCCAGUCCUCCCCAGUGAUGGACCAGCAUCUGCCUUUUCUUCUGUGUCUGGCCUCAUCAAUCAACAACCACAUUACAGUAACACCUUUACACCAGAGUAUUAUCCCUGCACAAAACAGAUAUUGUCUAUACUGUGAUCUUUUGCACAUCCUGCUCAGCAGGAGUUUUGUCAACACUUCUACAUAGUUUUUUUCAUCGUUUUAUUUUUUUAAUAUGUGUAUCUAUGUAUAUUUAUUUUUUUGACUCUUGCAGUAUUUUACCUUUUUAUUGUUAUUUCCUGUUAAUAUGUUUAUUGGAUACUGCACCAAACACCAAGCCAAAUAUCUUGUAAGUAAAAACCUUCCUGGCAAUAAACCUUUUUUCCUGA
Long non-coding RNA from Seriola aureovittata, 7597 nucleotides. RefSeq lists it as uncharacterized. The transcript is spliced from 2 exons. The record is from RefSeq and is a predicted model, not a curated record. Lineage: Eukaryota; Metazoa; Chordata; Actinopteri; Carangiformes; Carangidae.